CAGAGAUUUAUCCUCGUACCUUUUGCAUCAUGAUUUAGCCAGCACCCCCAAGCGAAGAGAACUUUAGUUUGAGACCCCGAAACUGCGGUGAGCUACUCCAAGACAGCCUAUUUAUAGGGCAAACCCGUCUCUGUGGCAAAAGAGUGGGAAGAACUUCGAGUAGGGGUGACAGACCUAUCGAACCCAGUUAUAGCUGGUUGCCCGAGAAUUGGAUAGAAGUUCAGCCUCAUGGCUUCUCCCUAAACCACGAGAGUUAGUCAAAUGGGGUACAGCCCCUUUGAACCAAGACACAACUUUUUAAGAAGGAUAAAGAUCAUAAUUGUUAAGGCAAAAUGUUUGGGUGGGCUUAAGAGCAGCCAUCCCAACAGAAAGCGUUAAAGCUCGAACAUACUAUCCCGAUAUUCAUAUCUUAAUCCCCUAACAUUACCGGGCCUCCCCAUACAUUUUUAUGGGGGCGACCCUGCUAGAAUGAGUAAUAAGAGAGCCCUCUCUCCCAGCACAUGUGUAUCUCGGAACGGACCCCCCACCGAACAUUAACGGCCCCAAACAAAGAGGGCACUGGACAAAAACUAGAAAACCGUCCGCCGUUGACCCUACACUGGUGUGCCUCCAGGAAAGACUAAAAGAAAAAGAAGGAACUCGGCAAAAAAGCCUCGCCUGUUUACCAAAAACAUCGCCUCUUGCAAGAAUAAGAGGUCCCGCCUGCCCGGUGACAUUAGUUUAACGGCCGCGGUACUCUAACCGUGCGAAGGUAGCGUAAUCACUUGUCUUUUAAAUGAAGACCUGUAUGAAUGGCAUAACGAGGGCUUAACUGUCUCCUUUUUCCAGUCAAUGAAAUUGAUCUCCCCGUGCAGAAGCGGGGAUAGUAACAUAAGACGAGAAGACCCUAUGGAGCUUUAGACACUAAGACAGACCAAGUUAAAUACCCCACAAUAAAGGGCCGAACUCAUUGAUCCCCUGUCCUAAUGUCUUCGGUUGGGGCGACCAUGGGAGAACACAAAACCCCCAUGUGGAAUAGGAGGACUCCCACAAGCAAGAGUUACAACUCUAGCUAACAGAACUUCUGACCUUAACACGAUCCGGCUUACGCCGAUCAACGGACCAAGUUACCCUAGGGAUAACAGCGCAAUCCCCUUUUAGAGGCCAUAUCGACAAGGGGGUUUACGACCUCGAUGUUGGAUCAGGACAUCCUAAUGGUGCAG
RNAcentral lists this ribosomal RNA (1202 nucleotides) under Selar crumenophthalmus (bigeye scad). RNAcentral's name for it is "partial 16S ribosomal RNA". It matches the Rfam family "Bacterial large subunit ribosomal RNA", at positions 586 to 2558 of the family's 2925-position model. The record is from RNAcentral. Lineage: Eukaryota; Metazoa; Chordata; Actinopteri; Carangiformes; Carangidae.